This is a long non-coding RNA of Ochotona curzoniae (black-lipped pika), 936 nucleotides long. RefSeq lists it as uncharacterized. The record is from RefSeq and is a predicted model, not a curated record. Lineage: Eukaryota; Metazoa; Chordata; Mammalia; Lagomorpha; Ochotonidae. The transcript is spliced from 3 exons.
AAUAUCAGUGAGAGUUAUCCUUUCUGAAUAUCAAAAUAUCAGGGAAGGAAGGUGGGAAAAGACGACUGGAGCCCAUGGGAAAUGCAAGUGAAAGAUUUAGCCAAUGAGCCAUUACCCCCAAGUCUGAAUAUGUGUUUCUUUUGUGCCACAAACUCAGCUUAGUUGCAGAGGGCUAAUAGGUAAUAGUCUAAGUCGUUUAGGUUCUGUCACAAACUCUUACAAAGUUUGUAUUGAAAGUCACCUUAACGUGUUUUCAAAUUAAACUAUUGUUUCAGUAUCCAUUGCCAUUCAACCAGAAUCACUCUCAGUGUCUUGCACUGCUGCUUGUCUCACUUGUUCUUCUGUUUUUUCUCUUGCUUAUACCCCAGACUUGGCCAUACCACAGAAGGUAUCCUCUCAGCUAUAACCCCAUUAUCUCAACUCUGAUUUUUUUUCUCUACCUGUGAUACACUGGUCAGAUUGAACAACAAACUUGUUCUGGUUGAUUUCUCUUAGUUAACAUUCUAUGACUACCAGCCUGAUGAGGAUUAUCCUAUUUCUUCGAUGCUUUGCCUGCUGACCAUCAAACCGAGAAAUGUUUUACCUAUCUAUUAACUCCAGUGACAAGCUGUUUAGGAAAAAUUUCCUCCCAAGGAAUUCCCAGGCAGAGAAGUCUAAAUUGCAGGCUCCCUGAAAACACACGCAUCUGCAUUUUGUCACCCCUUACUGCUGUCUGCCUAUGCUUAACAAGUUGUUUCUGUGACAUCUGCAGUCAAGUUGCUGAGUGCCAACCAGAGCACCAGCACCAACCAGGAGAGCAGCUGCCUGUCAGCCAUGAAAGCCAGAAGGCACCUUCCACCAGCAUCACAAAUCCUCUUCCACCCUCUUCGAGUCAGUGCUGAGAUAUCUUCCAAAUCCUGGGAUAAAUACUAACAGCUUCCUGUUAAUGUGCCUGGG